UAUGUACCCUAGUUUGGUUAUAUGUUAUUUCCCUUAAGUUUGAGUGGUUUUUGGAUGUCUUUGGGUGAAAAAUGUUCAUGGAGAUUUUUGGAGUUUUUUAUGAAUGUUCUUUAUUGUUCUUGAUAUUUUAGCCAAGAACAAAAAGGUUUGGUGUUUUGAUUCAAAGUUUUGAUUUAUUUCAUAAAGUUUUUGUUUUGAGCUUUUCAAGUGUUUAAAUGUGUUAGAUAUUUAUUUAGAAAGGUGAUAGAAAUAUUGAUGGGUGUGUAAGGAUUAAUUCCCUUUCACACACACCACUUGCAUGACUUUUGUGUCAUGCACCUCUUACAUGACUUUACGUCAAAACUACAAAUCAACACACACAUCACUCCCUUUAAUAUCUAAAACCGGCCACCCUAUUAAAAUAGGGUACUUUUGGGGCUUUUAUGCAAUUACAUAAAGUUUUGAUACUUUUGUGUAUUUGCACUUUGGCCCAAAAGUUUACGUCUUUACGUUUAGGUCCAAAAACGCUAAAGGACAAAUUGUUUUGCUCCUUUAAUGAAGUUUUUGUAUUUGUUGAAAUUUUUGGGUUCUAGUUGUAAUUACAUGAAGUAGUGGACUUUUGUGUUUUUACAAAAUGAGCUCAAAAGUUUAAGUUUUGCAACAUAGCCCAAAAAGUUGAGGUUAUUGCAUUUUGGCCCAAAUUAGGUUGAGAACAAAAUGGUUUUGUCUCUUUAAAUGAGAAUUGGAUUUUCAUUUCAUUUAGCUCCAUUUAAAUCAAUUCUAUGGAUACAAAAACCAAAUGACAAUGUUGCAUUCAAAGUUUAAUUAGUUAAAGCGUUAAUUAAUUAAAGGGUGAUUAUGAACCUAAGCCUACGAUAAUUGAGUUAUGUGAAAGGCUGUCUCAAAUUUGUUUGAACCAUGGGAAUGUGUAGAUUAGAUUUUGGUUGUAAUUUGAUAUGAUCAAAUGUUGUAAAAGAGCAUAAGCUCUUCUUUACUUUGAAGUACUCAUUUUCUUGUUUUAUUUGAUAUGCAUGAAAUUGGAGUAGUUGGGUCCAACACCCAAUAGGAAAAACACGCCUUAAUAUGAUUAAAUGCGUAACUAAAAUCAAUCACCAUCCCUAGACCGAGAUUCAACACUAGACUCGUGUUGGAUCUAAUCAAAGGUUCAUAAUCAUCCUAAGGUCCUAAGGCAACUAUAUAGUCCAUCAAUGAAUGCAAACCUUAUGUUAGUAGUAUCAUAUACUCUUGCUUUAAAAACCAUUUUAUAAGCAUAGUGGGAGUAUUAUAUACAACUAAAAACAAUCAAAUGGACCAAUAGUUGUAAUAGGACCAAAAUUGUUUUAAUAAGAUUAAAAUGUAUAUUUAUAUAUGAUGAGACCUAAAACUCUCAACCAACCCAUUAUUAAGUUGAUAAGCGUGAGAGUGCUUUGAACACUCUUUCGUGGCCUUCCACCGUGGUAGGCUCCGAUCGUUUGUGACUCGUACACCGGCUUCACCCUAUCAUGGGGGAGUACAAAGUGCGUGCUUACACUCAGGAGGAGUUCUAUAUGCAUACAUGAUGUUGUGAAGGUAGGCAACGAGAAUAGCCAACAUCAUAUUAUUGUGAGAUUGUUCUUGAACCCCUACUCGAACUUGCAUGGUGGGAAUGACUUAACUAAGUGUAAUGGAGCCAACAUCAUAUCAUUGUGAGGCUUCAUUCUCUAGAGGCCAAAUAAGAUGGGUACUUGCAAGAGAUGCAAAUGAGUAAGUGUACUCUCUCAUUAUUAUUAAUGCUAGCCAACAUCAUAUCAUUGUGAGGUGGGCUUGGUAAUAGUGAGCCUCCCAUACCCUACUAAGAGUUUCCUCCAAAACUCUCGAAUUCCAAUGAGGGAUAUGGAAUUUGCCAAAAAUAGUGGGUGGUGCUAUUUGAUUUAAAGACCCGAAUCAAAUGGCUUAAAAUCAAUCAAUUUAUAUUCGUUAUGUAUUUGUUUACCAAUAUAUUUGCAAACGCUAUCCAAAACUUGACUAAGAAAAGCCGAAUGCUUUAGUUUCCGGACUUGGUACCACAAUCCCAAAGAUUGUCUUAAAUGGAUUGUAUAUGUACCUAAGUAGUCUAAUCCUCUCAAUCUUCCUAUUGAUAAUGUAUCAUUGGAAGAACAUGUUAGAUAAGUCUAUCAUAAAGAGGACAACACUUAAUUCUUCACUUACAAAUCGUUGUAUGAAGAAAUAAGAGUUGCUUUGAACAACCCUUAGCUAAUGCAAACACUAGUGCUUGUUUCUUUGUUAAAUUAACAAAGAACUUGAGAAGAAAGCA
RNAcentral lists this long non-coding RNA (2272 nucleotides) under Malus domestica (apple). RNAcentral describes it as "long non-coding RNA (MDOM_LNC012540)". Lineage: Eukaryota; Viridiplantae; Streptophyta; Magnoliopsida; Rosales; Rosaceae. The record is from RNAcentral.